AGCAGCCGCGGUAAUUCCAGCUCCAAUAGCGUAUAUUAAAGUUGUUGCAGUUAAAAAGCUCGUAGUUGAACUUCAGGCCUGUCCAGAUGGUCCGCCUUAAUUGGUGUGUACUGUCCUUGGGUGGGUCCUACCUUCUGGCGAAGCGGCAUGGCCUUAAUUGGUUGUGUUGGGGAACCAGGACUUUUUACUGUAGAAAAAUUAGAGUGUUCAAAGCAGGCAAAUAUGCUCGAAUACAUUAGCAUGGAAUAAUGGAAUAGGACGAUGGUUCUAUUUUGUUGGUUCUAGGACCGUUGUAAUGAUUAAUAGGGAUAGUUGGGGGCAGUUAGUAUUCAAUUGUCAGAGGUGAAAUUCUUGGAUUUAUUGAAGACUAACUACUGCGAAAGCAUUUGCCAAGGAUGUUUUCAUUAAUCAAGAACGAAAGUUAGGGGAUCGAAGACGAUCAGAUACCGUCGUAGUCUUAACCAUAAACUAUGACCGACUAGGAAUCGGGCGAUGUUGACAAAAUGACUCG
This 511-nucleotide ribosomal RNA is filed under the name uncultured Paraglomeraceae. Its description in RNAcentral is "bacterial SSU rRNA". It matches the Rfam family "Eukaryotic small subunit ribosomal RNA", at positions 569 to 1078 of the family's 1831-position model. The record is from RNAcentral. Lineage: Eukaryota; Fungi; Glomeromycota; Glomeromycetes; Paraglomerales.